Molecule: long non-coding RNA, 865 nt
Organism: Cydia splendana
Lineage: Eukaryota; Metazoa; Arthropoda; Insecta; Lepidoptera; Tortricidae
Exons: 3
Source: RefSeq, a predicted model, not a curated record
UCGAAUAGUAAAAUAAACAUGUCAAGAGAAAAAAUAGUGAUCUUAUUUAUAGAAAUCUACUAAAGUAUGAAUAAAUACCUACGCAAGAGUAACAUAACAACAUAAAAUGUACUAAUUAAGGUUCAAUGGACUGGCACUGGUUUCACCAAGAACGAUGAGCGAGAAGCGAUUGGAGCUACAAAAUAAGAAAUGAGUUGGCGCGCGAGCAGCGAGAAGCGAGUAUAGUUCUGUUGCAACCGGAAAGCGAUGAUCACACGGCAAAUCAAAUCCUGAAGACUAUAGCAGCCACGUCAAAGAAAGAUAUACCUAUCUACCUACCUACCUACCUACCUAUUAAAAAAAAUGUUUAUUCUUUCUCAUUUGAUAUGUAAGAAUGUAUGUCAAUAAGAUGUUAUUAGUUAAGACUGCGUCGACCGUCCAAUGGCACCCUCAUUGGGGCAAUUAUGAUUUCUAAAAAAUACAAGGCAAUUAAUUAAACUAUCAUAUAAAUGAUCAUAUUAAUAUAAUAUGGGAUCCUAUUUGAAAGCAAUUUUACAAUCAUGAUCAUACACGCCAUAUUUGUUAAAAUUGUUGUUAUUUAAUUACCCUAUGAUUAAAAAUUAAAUUAAAUUGAUUUAAGACCAACAAAGGAUCAAUUUCGUCAUUUUAAUUUUAAUCUUUCAACGAAUGUUAGUAGGCAUACACACAAAUUUAUUAACUAACUACAUAUUUACAGAUGAUGGUGUAAUAACAACAAUUUUGUGUGGUACUAUACAGCACGUCCACGGAUGAUUUUAUUAUUUCUUUUGCGGUACAUAUUCAUGAAAAGAAAUGUACUUUUAUGUACUUAUGUUUUAAAAAAAUGUACUCGCACGGUUUUGGCAUA